CCUACGGGCGGCAGCAGUGAGGAAUAUUGGUCAAUGGGCGAGAGCCUGAACCAGCCAAGUCGCGUGAAGGAUGAAGGAUCUAUGGUUUGUCAACUUCUUUUAUAAAGGAAUAAAGUGAGGCACGUGUGCCUUUUUGUAUGUACUUUAUGAAUAAGGAUCGGCUAACUCCGUGCCAGCAGCCGCGGUAAUACGGAGGAUCCGAGCGUUAUCCGGAUUUAUUGGGUUUAAAGGGAGCGUAGAUGGGUUGUUAAGUCAGUUGUGAAAGUUUGCGGCUCAACCGUAAAAUUGCAAUUGAUACUGGCAGCCUUGAGUACAGUUGAGGUAGGCGGAAUUCGUGGUGUAGCGGUGAAAUGCUUAGAUAGCACGAAGAACUCCGAUUGCGAAGGCAGCUUACUAAACUGCCACUGACAUUGAUGCUCGAAAGUGUGGGUAUCAAACAGGAUUAGAUACCCGUGUAGUC
RNAcentral lists this ribosomal RNA (460 nucleotides) under uncultured bacterium. RNAcentral's name for it is "partial 16S ribosomal RNA". It matches the Rfam family "Bacterial small subunit ribosomal RNA", at positions 338 to 795 of the family's 1533-position model. The record is from RNAcentral.